Molecule: long non-coding RNA, 460 nt
Filed under: Rhinopithecus roxellana (golden snub-nosed monkey)
Lineage: Eukaryota; Metazoa; Chordata; Mammalia; Primates; Cercopithecidae
Description: lncRNA (ENSRROG00000045875.1)
Source: RNAcentral
GGCCGUGUAAACUCCUGCGCGAUUGCACGGAUUCAGGGACGGGCCGUGGCGCCGCGACGCUCCUUGGUUUGACUUUUGUGUUUCAGUUGAGUUCCCUGACUCGGAGUCUCAGUGUGUCGUGUGAAAAAGACAGCAUGAACUUUACCCCAAAACACACCCCUGUCUGCAGAAAGCAAGCAGUUGUCUCCAAACGUGCCGUUGCCACCAGUGGUCCCACCAAGAGGAGGGGAAUGGCAGACUCACUGGAGUCAACCCCCUUGCCUUCCCUCGAAGAUCGUCUGGCCAAACUCGGUCCUUCUAAGGAGCUCCUGGAAUAUUAUCAGAAGAAGAUGGCUGAGUGCGAGGCAGAAAAUGAGGACUUGUUGAAGAAACUGGAACUCUACAAAGAAGCUUGUGAAGGACAGGUGAAGAGACGAUGCACGCUUUUUCGGAACUCUGAUGAAGUCUUCAUUAAUUAGAG